CAAUAGGGAAUCUUCGGCAAUGGACGAAAGUCUGACCGAGCAACGCCGCGUGAGUGAAGAAGGUUUUCGGAUCGUAAAACUCUGUUGGUAGAGAAGAACGUUGGUGAGAGUGGAAAGCUCAUCAAGUGACGGUAACUACCCAGAAAGGGACGGCUAACUACGUACCAG
This 168-nucleotide ribosomal RNA is filed under the name uncultured bacterium. RNAcentral describes it as "partial 16S rRNA". It matches the Rfam family "Bacterial small subunit ribosomal RNA", at positions 352 to 511 of the family's 1533-position model. The record is from RNAcentral.